Long non-coding RNA from Protopterus annectens (West African lungfish), 1958 nucleotides. RefSeq lists it as uncharacterized. NCBI's taxonomy places the organism in Eukaryota, Metazoa, Chordata, Ceratodontiformes, Protopteridae. The record is from RefSeq and is a predicted model, not a curated record. The transcript is spliced from 3 exons.
GAACUGUGGAAGCAAAGUUGGAAGUCAGCCCAUUAUUGAGGCCAGCACUAAUAUUACUUCAGGUCCUUUUGAACUAAAAAGAGACGUUUCUGCAUAUUCUUCUUCUUCAGCUUUCUCAAGGACAUCAAAAGUGUGGACACUUCUGGCAGUAUUCGUCCUACUGGUGACAUCACUGUAAUGUUCGGAAGAAUGCAACAAAUCUUAAUGAUGAAAUUUUCAACUGCUUUUCACUUCCUCUGAAAUAAAAUGAUUAUCCUUUCCCAUAAUUUUGGUUUCAUUCUCAGGUUUUCAAUAUAGUCAAUAUAACAAUGCUGAAGGCCAUAAAUCUAGCCUCAAAGCUACAGUGUAACAUGUCAUAGCACCAUUGCAGAACUUGCAGUACUCCUGGAAUCAUUGAAUUCAAACUGAUUGUUUGGCUUCAUUAAUAAAUCAGGAAAUAUGCACAUUAAUUGUAAUAAAUGGUUGAGAUAGGUGACAAAAAAGAUGCAGAUAUUGACAACUGAUUCUGAUUUUCCUCGUGCAAAAUUAUGCUUUAUUCCAUAGCUAUUUAAUGAUAUGUAUAUAAAAUGGGUAUAGAAUAUCUGAGUAAAAUAAUGAAAUCAAUAGACAAUUUCCACUGCCCUGAUAAUGUUUAAAGGUUUAAUCUCACCCCCCCCCACACACACAUAUAGAUAGAUGUGUGUGUGUGUGUGUGUGUGUGUGUGUGUGUGUGUGUGUGUGUGUGUGUGUACAAAUAUAGCACAUCCAUAUAUCAAAUUGGAAAAAAGUUGAACAGACCUGUAACAGGAAAAAUAAUUUUGUGGCACUUGGACUGACAUAGUACACUGUAAAAUGAAACAUCUAGGACAGCUUGAUUAUAAUUUGCACAGAGCUAUAGUUUAGGUUCAAGCAGAACAUGAUUUAAAUGUGUUGUUUUCAAUUUAAUUGCUCAAAUUUAGCAGUGCUCUAUUUCAAUUAUAAAGACAUGCUUAAAAAAUAUGUCAUAAUUAUCAAAUUAAAUAUUCUGUGAAUAUCUUGCAAAUAAGUUAAUGUUACUGAUUUUUUUAAACUAACACAAACUCUUUGGCUUAUACUGCUCUCUUCUACAGGAAAAAGAAAAUACCUUGAAAUUCUCCUGCCACUAAACUAGUGUACAAAAAAUAGAGGUUUAAGUGACUGUCAAAGUUUUAAAGAGUAUUUGUUCUAGUAUUACAUGUUCAGGAAAUUAAAUUAAAAUGUGCUUUGUGCAGUUAAUCAAAAGGUUGCCAUGUACAAUUUUUCAUAAGCUACUCAGAUUCUGUGUGCUCCCUGUUUUCUGCUACUAUAAUGAACACCAAAGGCAUUUACCAAAUGUCCACAUAUUUAAAAGGUAAAGAUGCUGAAAUCUGUACUGUUAGCACCUUCUCCAAAUGCACAUAUGAGCUUGCCAUCAUUUUACAGCAGCAUCUUCUUUUCCUACCACCAUCAAUUAAUCCCAUCUUUUGGACAACAUCUUUGCUUUAGAUAUAUAUCCUACUUUCUUUCUGAAAGUAUUUUGAGAAAUUUGCUUCAUGCACUGUUUUCAAAGAUUUUCUUAUUAUUACAGUCACAAGGAAUGAAUAACAGUUGCAUGAGAUUUCCUUUAUAGUUGCUGAAUAAAUGGUUGGAGGAGUCAAUCUUCAGAAUUAAAAGUAAUAUGUAGAGAAGCUUGUAUAAACACAAGAUUAUGACAAUGCUCUGUACCUAGUUUAGGUUGGUUAAUUUGUUAUUCAUCAUUUACAUUUAGUGUUUGUAAUGUACUUUACCAUAAGCUGCUCUGUACAAUAUCAUUAGAAAAAAUAAGAACGUGGGUUGAUCAGUAACAUAAAUGAAUGUUAAUAAGUGAGCAUAACCAUAAUAUUGUUUAACCUGUUGAAACCAAAGUUCUUUACAUGUUCCACUUUAUCUGUAGACCUUUUGAAUUCACUUAUAUAUCCAAUAAAUGGUCAUUCCUUACAGCA